CAGCAUCAAGGAAACAGAUUAUCGAACCUAAGAAUCAAAUCUACCGAUCUGAGACUAAGGACUCUCUCUAAAAGCAAGAAAUUCUACUCGGAGAAGAUCACUACUAGAAGAGACAACAACAGCAAGCAACCAAACAAUCCAAUCAACCAACAAGCAACAAGCAACAAGCAAGCAAGCAAACGAACAAGCAAGUGUGAUCCUAG
This 203-nucleotide long non-coding RNA is filed under the name Capsella rubella. RNAcentral's name for it is "long non-coding RNA (CRUB_LNC003841)". The record is from RNAcentral. Lineage: Eukaryota; Viridiplantae; Streptophyta; Magnoliopsida; Brassicales; Brassicaceae.